Molecule: non-coding RNA, 72 nt
Organism: Aspergillus fumigatus Af293
Lineage: Eukaryota; Fungi; Ascomycota; Eurotiomycetes; Eurotiales; Aspergillaceae
Source: the annotation of a RefSeq genome assembly
CAAUGACGGCAUAGACAAUAGUCAAGCCACCGUAGAACGGAAGUUUUGCAAUUUGCGCAGCCGGAAGUUCAC